RNAcentral lists this ribosomal RNA (580 nucleotides) under uncultured fungus. RNAcentral describes it as "eukaryotic LSU rRNA". The stretch from base 210 to 363 matches the Rfam family "5.8S ribosomal RNA". The record is from RNAcentral. Lineage: Eukaryota; Fungi.
CUUGGUCAUUUAGAGGAAGUAAAAGUCGUAACAAGGUUUCCGUAGGUGAACCUGCGGAAGGAUCAUUACCUAGAGUUGUAGGCUUUGCCUGCUAUCUCUUACCCAUGUCUUUUGAGUACCUUACGUUUCCUCGGUGGGUUCGCCCACCGAUUGGACAAACUUAAACCCUUUGCAGUUGAAAUCAGCGUCUGAAAAAACUUAAUAGUUACAACUUUCAACAACGGAUCUCUUGGUUCUGGCAUCGAUGAAGAACGCAGCGAAAUGCGAUAAGUAGUGUGAAUUGCAGAAUUCAGUGAAUCAUCGAAUCUUUGAACGCACAUUGCGCCCCUUGGUAUUCCAUGGGGCAUGCCUGUUCGAGCGUCAUUUGUACCUUCAAGCUUUGCUUGGUGUUGGGUGUUUGUCUCGCCUCCGCGCGUAGACUCGCCUCAAAACAAUUGGCAGCCGGCGUAUUGUUUUCGGAGCGCAGUACAUCUCGCGCUUUGCACUCAUAACGACGACGUCCAAAAGUACAUUUUUACACUCUUGACCUCGGAUCAGGUAGGGAUACCCGCUGAACUUAAGCAUAUCAAUAAGCGGAGGA